UUAUGUUCUUAUGUUCUUAUGAAUGUGUAUGAACUCGAACGUACGUCCUGCCAAUCAAGCCAUUGAUCAUGUGACAUAAAGCGCAGGAUCAGAAGAGGUCGGCAGCAAUGGCAGGGAACGACUGCGCUUCGGGUAGUCAGGCUGAGAUUGUACAGUCAGCCAGGCACCUGCUGAAUUUACUAACGUCGUCAGGAAGAGAAGGUUUAACAAGUCAAGCUGCGAGUGACCAGCGACAGAGGUCAAAGUGACGGUUCAAGCCUUCAGCCACCAAGACCAUCACUUCAAAUGGAAAUGACUAGGUCCUUUCCAGGUCUUUUUACUAAGAGCAAAGGGAAAAGGCGAUUCCCAGCAGCAAACCUCGUUCCUGCCAAGAAACCUAAGCCACUUCUAUUUGCUCCCAAAGCAGUGUGACAAAUCUCCACAAGAGCAGGAGCAAAUAGUCCACAUGCAGGCGGGGUUGGGCCGUAGGACUGCUACUAUAGAUGAGAGCACAACACAUGAAGAGUUAUGUGAUGCACUCAAAGUUUUAUUCCCAAAAUUGGAGACGGUUACUGGUGGGUGGCUGCUUUACAAAUCAUCAGGAGGAUGGGGUAGCCGAAAACUCACUAUUCUGGCUCCUGAUGAUACCAGCUACACAGGAAGGAUCUUGAAGGCUGCAAGUCGUGGGGGCAAAAAUCUAUUUAUAGCUCCAAUUCAAGAAGAACUCAGCACAACUCCUUUACAACUAACUGAUAAAACAUUCAGUAACAUGCCAAAAGAAGCUUGUCAGAAGUGUGGAGUAGCAGUUCCCCUGCAGCUCCUACUAGAACAUGUGAAGUCUUGUGCCAUCAUCAAUGUUGACACUGACGAACAUCUGGAUGAUAUUGGUAAUGCCCAGAUCCUGAACCUGACCCGCCUUUCCCGCCGAGCCCGGCUCCUCGUGUCUCCCCUCACCUUUGUGGUCUUGUCGUGUCCUUCUUCGUCGGACGGAUUUACCCAGCAACGACCUCCUCUUCUGCCCCGCGACUACGAGUACUGCUACAUUCCCAUCGGACAUCCCAGCACCCUUGCCUGUCCAGGGGCUCGGUCCCCAGCCUCGCUCCCUGCCCAGCUCCACCUGGGGAAGAGUUAGUGGACUACCCCUCCUGCUCUGCACUAGGGUGUGACUCUCUAUCUUGGAACCUUUCAUUAAACCUUGGUUCUCCCUGCAUUCCUGGAUCCUGGUCUCUGUUCCCUGGGUGUCGUGACAAGUAUGACAUGAGAUUUUUUUUUAUUGACCUGUUAGCAUAGUAUUAAUCCACACCAGAAAUGGUUUUCUUCAAAAUAAGUUAUUUUUGUAACUUGAAUUUCUCAACAGCAGAUAAGCAGUCCUGUCCUGUCUGUAGUGAAAUGUUUCCCACUGACUAUAUUGAAGUACAUGCUUCCUCCUGUGGAGAGAGUGCAGGAAAUGAGGGGAGGCAUACAAGUACCACUAAUAAUGAACAAGCAGCAAUACCUGGACCAUCUGGAACCCAUGCAACAGUUACAGAUGACUGGUUAACUAUGAGUGACCCUACCAAGGCCAUAGCACAUUGUGCGGGUGCUUUUCUCCGCCUUCAUGAAAUGGAGCAUCCCUUACUUCUGAGCAUGGACAUAAGAAGAAGUCCUACUGAACAGGACAUGGCUAUUAUCGCCUUUUACAAGCGGCCAAAUGUGGAAUGGGCACGACCCCUGAUUUGUAGACUUGAAGGCAGCAACAUUACAGUUGUCAAAAAUACUUUAUUUCCAGUCUCUUGAUAUUGUCAAAUUUUGCAUUUUGUUACUGUAGGAGAUGCUGCUAUUGGAGAGGGCGUAACUCGCUUUUUUCUCUCAACGUGCAUUGACAAGCUGAAGUCUGGCUUUUGCAUCCAUUUUUGUAAGUACACAUCAACUAUGUCUUAUAACGAUGCCAAAUGUUUGUGUAAUGCUAUGUUUAUCUUACAAAGCAUGGAUAA
Non-coding RNA from Paramormyrops kingsleyae, 1952 nucleotides. The record is from RefSeq and is a predicted model, not a curated record. NCBI's taxonomy places the organism in Eukaryota, Metazoa, Chordata, Actinopteri, Osteoglossiformes, Mormyridae.